AGAAUCUCCAUAUGGGGUCAUCGCGAAGAUUGAGUAAGUUACAUAAAGUGCUAGUUCCCCACAGGGCAGGGCCUGCUGCCACGGUUCUCUUCCCCCAGCCUUGGAGGGCGAGGGGGAAGCAGUAAGUGCUGUGGUGCCACCUCGUCAUCAGAAAGAACAUGAACGACUCCAGAGACUUGUCCCAAGGGGCUAUCCCAAGGCCGUGCUGCUGCCGCCCCAGUCUGCUGCGUGUGAGAGCUCCGUGCUCAGGGAGCCCGACUCACCUGGAACCCGUCUGCCUCCUCUGCUGUCUGGGAAGCACAGCGGGCUUUCGCCAGCCUUUCAGUUCUCCUUUCUGCCUAUAGCACUUUAAUGACAACAGCAGCAGCAGCAGCUAACACAGUGCGUGCUGUCAUGUGUCAGACACUGUCCUGAGAGGUACUAUUCUUAUUUCAAUUUUACAAAUGAGGAAAUUCCAUCUGAAUCCAGAAUCUUCCAUCCUAACUGUGACACUGGACUGGCUCCUGUUUGAGAACAGGCGAGUUUGGGCUGGAAAAGGCCUUUCAUCACAGAAAGCAAUGCAACAUCGCUCAGCCUGACUCAUUCAUCAUCCACCUUUCCUCAGCCCAGGAGUGGCCCAUGUGAGAACCACCUGCAGCAGGAUGUUUAAGAGCUGAGGUGAGAGUCAAGAAAUGGGCUGUGGGUUUGCCACCACUCCCAGCCUUCUCCGGUCAAACUCCUGCACAGCCUGGAGGAGGAGGGUGGAGGAUGAGGCACUCAAAAAAACAAAAACAAAAACAAAAGCAAAACAGUGGUAAAAGAAAACGCUAGUCACUCUCCAGCGUAGCAGACUGCAACACCACCACGCCUGAUUAAGGAAUGACAAUAUGGAAGGCAGAUGGCAGAUGCAUCGAUGCCACAUUAUUGCUUUUCAGUGAAAUAUUGCUUGGGGUUUUUUUUUUCUUCUUCUUCUUGUAAACCUCCCAAAUAAAAUGGUUUGCUUUCCUCAA
Molecule: long non-coding RNA, 989 nt
Organism: Phyllostomus discolor (pale spear-nosed bat)
Lineage: Eukaryota; Metazoa; Chordata; Mammalia; Chiroptera; Phyllostomidae
Exons: 2
Source: RefSeq, a predicted model, not a curated record